GAUCAAGCUACAAAGGGCGCACGGUGAAUGCCCUGGCACUAGGAGCCGAUGAAGGACGUGAUAAGCUGCGAUAAGCUACAUGUAGGCGCACACAGCCUGUGAUAUGUAGAUUUCCGAAUGGGGAAACCCAUCUAGUUAUGCUAGAUACUGUAUACCGAAUACAUAGGUAUAUGGAGGUACACCUGGGGAACUGAAACAUCUAAGUACCCAGAGGAAGAGAAAGAAAAUUCGAUUCCCUAAGUAGCGGCGAGCGAAAGGGGAAGAGCCCAAACCAGGAACUUGUUCCUGGGGUUGCGGAUAGAUCAUAA
This 308-nucleotide ribosomal RNA is filed under the name Clostridium botulinum C/D. RNAcentral describes it as "partial 23S ribosomal RNA". It matches the Rfam family "Bacterial large subunit ribosomal RNA", at positions 1 to 314 of the family's 2925-position model. The record is from RNAcentral. Lineage: Bacteria; Bacillati; Bacillota; Clostridia; Eubacteriales; Clostridiaceae.